RNAcentral lists this ribosomal RNA (271 nucleotides) under uncultured archaeon. RNAcentral's name for it is "partial 16S ribosomal RNA". It matches the Rfam family "Archaeal small subunit ribosomal RNA", at positions 477 to 747 of the family's 1478-position model. The record is from RNAcentral.
CAGCACCUCAAGUGGUCAGGAUGAUUAUUGGGCCUAAAGCAUCCGUAGCCGGCUCUGUAAGUUUUCGGUUAAAUCUGUACGCUCAACGUACAGGCUGCCGGGAAUACUGCAGAGCUAGGGAGUGGGAGAGGUAGACGGUACUCGGUAGGAAGGGGUAAAAUCCUUUGAUCUAUUGAUGACCACCUGUGGCGAAGGCGGUCUACCAGAACACGUCCGACGGUGAGGGAUGAAAGCUGGGGGGAGCAAACCGGAUUAGAGACCCGUGUAGUCC